AACAAUACACCGGUGAGGGAGAUACCAGAAGCCUACGCUUCUGACGCUCCUUACUCAGAACAGAGCCCAGUCCUUGACGGAGCGAAUCCGUCCUGUAACCUGUCGGCCCUCGCCGCUAUAUCACGCGCUAACACGAAGAGGAUUUCCACUUCCAUGCAGCCUACGUAACAUAGACAAGUGAGUGCUGUGUGGCCCUAAGGGGAUCGCACAAGGCAUGUGCGUCUCUUGCUUAAGACAGUUGCAAGGUGGCUGUUGGGGGAAAAGGCUAGUUGCGACCGCCUGUGUUGCAGCUUCCAUACACGACCCUGCAUCUUAUCCCCCAGGGUAAUAAUGACAGACGGUCCCAGAUGGCAUGUGAAGUACUUUCUGGGCUUAUCACGGAAUUUGCAUCCACCGAUGGGUUCUUUUCCGAAAAGUUCGUGAUAUAACAGCACGGGAAAACUCUUCGAAGGUAGGACGACAGGGUGAAUAGUUCUUAAUAAAUAGUUGUUAAUAAAAACAUCUAUUAAUCUGCUCAUCUGCAGCGAUCGGUAGUUGUGUCAACUAUCCAGCAUCGCUUUACCUCUUCCUCCCUCUCGCGGCAGCAUGAGUUGGAGACUGUUGAUCCAUUGAAAGGGAUGAGCAGGGGUGAGCACUUCUCAACCACCUGCCUGUGGAUUGAUGAGACAAUUUACAAAAUCGGCGUAAGGCUGUAAAAUAUCAGCCAUGAUACUGUUCACGUUAUGGGUUUCCAUUCAUAUGCACGAAGUGCAGGGCGUCGGUGUGGUGGGUUGCCGAAAG
RNAcentral lists this long non-coding RNA (780 nucleotides) under Volvox carteri. RNAcentral's name for it is "long non-coding RNA (VCAR_LNC001276)". Lineage: Eukaryota; Viridiplantae; Chlorophyta; Chlorophyceae; Chlamydomonadales; Volvocaceae. The record is from RNAcentral.